RNAcentral lists this ribosomal RNA (433 nucleotides) under uncultured bacterium. RNAcentral describes it as "partial 16S ribosomal RNA". It matches the Rfam family "Bacterial small subunit ribosomal RNA", at positions 29 to 507 of the family's 1533-position model. The record is from RNAcentral.
AACGAACGCUGGCGGCAUGCCUAACACAUGCAAGUCAAACGAGACCUUCGGGUCUAGUGGCGCACGGGUGCGUAACGCGUGGGAACCUGCCCUUAGGUUCGGAAUAACUCCCCGAAAGGGGUGCUAAUACCGGAUAAUGUCAUCGGACCAAAGAUUUAUCGCCUUUGGAUGGGCCCGCGUUGGAUUAGCUAGUUGGUAGGGUAAAAGCCUACCAAGGCGACGAUCCAUAGCUGGUCUGAGAGGAUGAUCCGCCACACUGGGACUGAGACACGGCCCAGACUCCUACGGAAGGCAGCAGUGGGGAAUAUUGGACAAUGGGCGAAAGCCUGAUCCAGCAAUGCCGCGUAAGUGAUGAAGGCCGUAGGGUUGUAAAGCUCUUUUACCCGGGAUGAUAAUGACAGUACCGGGAGAAUAAGCACCGGCUAACUCCGUG